This 286-nucleotide long non-coding RNA is filed under the name Mytilus galloprovincialis (Mediterranean mussel). The record is from RNAcentral. Lineage: Eukaryota; Metazoa; Mollusca; Bivalvia; Mytilida; Mytilidae.
GUCAAGGACUCAAAAUAAUUUAUGAAUUGACAAUAUAUAGAAAAUAUUACAUGCCUUUUCAAUAUCAUGCUCAUGUCAACCGGAAACAACAAAAUGUGAUAGCUCUGCACAUGGGCUUAGGGUUGAUAUUGAAAACACCAUAUCAUAUAUAGACUUAUUACAGAUGUUUUUCUAAUGGGGUUUGAGAAAGCCUAUGCAACAGAAAGAAUACUUUGAUUGCAUCACAUAUAAACAUCUCACUUGUAUUUACUACUAUAAUAAAGUACAAGAAAGAUAUAAAUAUUAG